UAUACGGUCUUACUAAUAAAAAAUCACUAUACAUGCGUUAUGACAAGGUGAUAGUAAUUCAGUGAAUAGAGCUUGUACAGGGCAUAAACUCCUCUUUGACCAAUAAUCGAUGUGUAUUGGUUGAAUAACAAAACGACCCUUAUUUAUUGUUACCCUGGCAACCCGCCGUGUUUGAUUGACGUUUGAUUUAAUAAUUUUGAUACGACUCAUAAUUCUAAUGUAAGUUGUAUUUAUUUUAUCAACCAAAGCAAUUAUAUACACAUUUACUCAAUAUACUAAUAACAUUUUAUUAUUUGCAGCUAAUAGAAACUCCAAAACCUCAGACAAAGAGGACUAGAAUUUUACAUAAAAAGCCGCGUUCUGCAGUACAAAAGUUAGAAGAGGCAUCUCAAAUAGUGGAAAGUGCCAAACUCCGCAACACGGUAGUGUUCCAGUGUUUCCAGGAAGAGCACGAAACAAAACAAAGGCAGAUGGCUGAAACACAUGAGCUCAAACAGAAGCGACUCGCCGAAGCUCACGAAAGGGCUAGACAGAAGCAUCUUCUAAGGCUCAAAUUGUUACAGCAGCAAUUAAAUAAAUAAUUAUAUACUUAUAAAAAAAAUAAAACCCCCGUUUUAAAUGAAA
Pieris napi is the source of this 624-nucleotide long non-coding RNA. RefSeq lists it as uncharacterized. The record is from RefSeq and is a predicted model, not a curated record. NCBI's taxonomy places the organism in Eukaryota, Metazoa, Arthropoda, Insecta, Lepidoptera, Pieridae. The transcript is spliced from 2 exons.